UGAGUACAAGAUGCUACGGCAUUGAAGCAGUCUAUGUCAUACUUCCAAGAAAAGCUUGCAAUGUCAUAAACAAAUAAUGCCUGUACCAUAACCGACACAGGUGGGUAGGUAGAGUAUACUAAGGGGCGCGAGAUAACUCUCUCUAAGGAACUCGGCAAAAUGACUCCGUAACUUCGGGAGAAGGAGUACCUUAUUUUAUAAGGUUGCAAUAACAAGGUCCAAGCAACUGUUUACCAAAAACACAGGUCUCCGCUAAGUCGUAAGACGAUGUAUGGGGGCUGACGCCUGCCCAGUGCCAGAAGGUUAAAGAAGUUGGUUAGCAUUAGCGAAGCUGAUAACUGAAGCCCUGGUGAACGGCGGCCGUAACAAUAACGGUCCUAAGGUGGCGAAAUUCCUUGUCGGGUAAGUUCCGACCCGCACGAAAGGCGUAAUGAUUUGGAUACUGUCUCGGAGAGGGGCUCGGUGAAAUAGACUUGUCUGUGAAGAUGCGGACUACCUGCACCUGGACAGAAAGACCCUAUGAAGCUUUACUGUAACUUGAGAUUGAAAUUGGACUUUAUUUGCGCAGUAUAGGUGGGAGACCUCGAAAGUAUUCUUGCGGGAAUAUUGGAGUCAUCAGUGAGAUACCACUCUUAUAAUGUUAGAUUUCUAACUUUGUAUCAUUAUCUGGUCAAAGAACAGUUUCAGGCGGGCAGUUUGACUGGGGCGGUCGCCUCCCAAAUGGUAACGGAGGCGCACAAAGGUUUCCUCUGAACGUGUAGAAAUCGUAUCUAGAGUGUAAAGGCAUAAGGAAGCUUGACUGUGAGACCUACAAGUCGAGCAGGGACGAAAGUCGGUCUUAGUGAUCUGACGGUGCUGAGUGGAAAGGCCGUCACUCAACGGAUAAAAGUUACUCUAAGGAUAACAGGCUGAUCUCCCCCAAGAGUUCACAUCGACGGGGAGGUUUGGCACCUCGAUGUCGGCUCAUCGCAUCCUGGGGCGGUAGUACGUCCCAAGGGUUGGGCUGUUCGCCCAUGAAAGCGGUACGCGAGCUGGGUUCAGAACGUCGUGAGACAGUUCGGUCCAUAUCCGGUGUAGGCGUUAGAAUAUUGAGAGGAGCCUUCUUUAGUACGAGAGGACCGAGAAGGACAUACCUCUGGUGUACCAGUUAUCGUGCCAACGGUAAACGCUGGGUAGCUAUGUAUGGAGAGGAUAACCGCUGAAAGCAUCUAAGUGGGAAGCCCACCUCAAGAUAAG
RNAcentral lists this ribosomal RNA (1236 nucleotides) under metagenome. RNAcentral describes it as "bacterial LSU rRNA". It matches the Rfam family "Bacterial large subunit ribosomal RNA", at positions 1564 to 2808 of the family's 2925-position model. The record is from RNAcentral.